This 18-nucleotide non-coding RNA is filed under the name Arabidopsis thaliana (thale cress). The record is from RNAcentral. Lineage: Eukaryota; Viridiplantae; Streptophyta; Magnoliopsida; Brassicales; Brassicaceae.
GGGUCGAUGCCCGAGCGG